GACAAGAUCAAGUUUGAUAAUAUUGUAGUAGCUUGUGGCAGUGGGGGUACAGUCGCUGGUUUAUCAUUGGGAUCAUGGUUGAGUACAUUGAAGGCAAAAAUUCGUGCAUUCUCUGUUUGUGAUGACCCUGAUUACUUCUACGAGUUUGUUCAAGGUUUACUUGAUGGGCUUCAUGCCGGUGUUAACUCAGGCGAUAUAGUUGAAAUCCAUAAUG
RNAcentral lists this unclassified non-coding RNA (214 nucleotides) under Hevea brasiliensis (rubber tree). Lineage: Eukaryota; Viridiplantae; Streptophyta; Magnoliopsida; Malpighiales; Euphorbiaceae. The record is from RNAcentral.